UACGAAGGGGGCGAGCGUUAUUCGGAAUCACUGGGCGUAAAGCGUGCGUAGGCUGUUCGGUAAGUCAGAAGUGAAAGCCCAAGGCUCAACCUUGGAAGCGCUUUUGAAACUACCGGACUCGGAUUUGGGAGAGGAUAGCGGAAUUGUCAGUGUAGCAGUGAAAUGCGUAGAUAUUGACAGGAACACCAGUGGCGAAGGCGGCGACCUGGGCCAAUACUGACGCUGAGGUGCGAAAGCGUGGGGAGCAAACAGG
This 253-nucleotide ribosomal RNA is filed under the name uncultured bacterium. RNAcentral's name for it is "partial 16S ribosomal RNA". It matches the Rfam family "Bacterial small subunit ribosomal RNA", at positions 524 to 776 of the family's 1533-position model. The record is from RNAcentral.